AUGGUCGUGGAGUGCGUCGGCGCGAACGGAAUAGUAGGUGGCGGCGCCGUCGCCGUCGCCGAGGAUGAGCAGUGCGUAGCGGAGUACGUGGAGGUCGGCGAGGACGAAGGGGAGGUGGUGGGCAGCGGGGCUCCUGCAUCAGAACCUCAGAUGAGGAAGCAUGAGAGUCCUCGCAGACUCGAAGGGCGGACAGCGCCGCGGCGUACUUGCCGACGUGGUCUUCGAAGGAGACGGAGUAGGGGGAGGAGGAGACGGCGGUGGGGAGGGAGAGGUGGCGGGCGGCGGGUCUGCUGCAUCAGAGGAGUAGGCAAGACGACGCAGCGGACGAACAACGCCGGCGGCGUACUUGCCGAUGUCGGCGUCGCGGGAGAUGGGGUAGGGAGGACGGGGGGUGUGGAGGUGGAUCUGGCAGCGGACGAUAAGGCUGCGGUGGAAGAGAGGAGUUGGGGCGGACGGCGCCGGCGGCACCGGUCUCCGCUAGUUCGCUUCCAUAUUUCUUCAGAAUGA
Molecule: ribosomal RNA, 507 nt
Filed under: Triticum aestivum (bread wheat)
Lineage: Eukaryota; Viridiplantae; Streptophyta; Magnoliopsida; Poales; Poaceae
Description: partial small subunit ribosomal RNA
Source: RNAcentral